RNAcentral lists this ribosomal RNA (301 nucleotides) under uncultured bacterium. RNAcentral's name for it is "partial 16S ribosomal RNA". It matches the Rfam family "Bacterial small subunit ribosomal RNA", at positions 509 to 807 of the family's 1533-position model. The record is from RNAcentral.
CAGCAGCCGCGGGAAUACGAAGGGGGCUAGCGUUGCUCGGAAUGACUGGGCGUAAAGGGCGCGUAGGCGGUUUUGACGGUCAGAUGUGAAAUUCCUGGGCUUAACCUGGGGGCUGCAUUUGAGACGUCAAGACUAGAGUGUGAGAGAGGGUUGUGGAAUUCCCAGUGUAGAGGUGAAAUUCGUAGAUAUUGGGAAGAACACCGGUGGCGAAGGCGGCAACCUGGCUCAUUACUGACGCUGAGGCGCGAAAGCGUGGGGAGCAAACAGGAUUAGAUACCCCAGUAGUCCCUGUCUCUUAUAC